UACAGAGGGGGCAAGCGUUAUUCGGAAUUAUUGGGCGUAAAGGGCGCGUAGGCGGUCGUGCAAGUGGAAGGUGAAAUCCCUCGGCUCAACCGAGGAACUGCCUUUCAAACUGCUUGACUUGAGUCCGGGAGAGGUGAGUGGAAUUCCCAGUGUAGCGGUGAAAUGCGUAGAUAUUGGGAGGAACACCAGUGGCGAAGGCGGCUCACUGGACCGGAACUGACGCUGAGGCGCGAAAGCGUGGGGAGCAAACGGG
RNAcentral lists this ribosomal RNA (253 nucleotides) under uncultured bacterium. RNAcentral's name for it is "partial 16S ribosomal RNA". It matches the Rfam family "Bacterial small subunit ribosomal RNA", at positions 524 to 776 of the family's 1533-position model. The record is from RNAcentral.